Long non-coding RNA from Canis lupus familiaris (dog), 808 nucleotides. RefSeq lists it as uncharacterized. The transcript is spliced from 3 exons. Lineage: Eukaryota; Metazoa; Chordata; Mammalia; Carnivora; Canidae. The record is from RefSeq and is a predicted model, not a curated record.
GAGACGCGUGUCCCGCGCGGACUUGGGGGGCCCCGCGCGCGCCCCUCGUCCCCUCCGCUCCCCGCGUGGGCCGCGCUCCGCCGGGCGCCUACCUGCGUGGGACAUGGUGACGGUGUCGUUGGUGCCGGAGCCCACGUUGAAGAUGACCACGGCCGAGGCGUUCUGCAGGAAGGCGUUGCGGAUCUUGUCCCGAACGGAUGUUUUCUCUAUAAGAAAAGAAACCGAGUGAGCUGUUUUCUCACUGCGUUUAUUCGGGUUGUCAAGCCUGGUGGUGUCAACAGGCAAGUGAGGUUUCUCUGCGUUUCCCUCUAUAGGGUGUUCCCGGGUUGGAGACCGGUAGUGCAGCGCCCGCAGAACGGCCUUCUCCAACCUUCUCCAAGCCGACACAGCCCCUUAACCACUUAAAUGCUUAGACGCUGCUGCCCUCCACACCAACGGAUUCCUGGGCUUGAGAGAAGUGCCAUGGAAGGGCUCGGAGAGAACUCGUGGGACGGUUCUUAAUCACUCUCACCUGGCAUUCUUUCAGAGGACCUGGGACUCAGUGCUGAAGACAAAAGGCCACAUUUCCCUAAGAUCUUAAUCAUCUUAGCCUCUUUCACCAGAAAGCUGGGAUGUGAGAAUGUAUCUCCAGGCCAAGACACUCAGAGGAUUGCCUGCUGACUGAUUGUAACAGCCGUUAGACACAAGCAGCUUUCAACUACACUUUGUCAGAAUUAUCGAAGGGGCGAGAAUCCAGGCCCUUUCCCAUCCUUGCCAUUGGGCCGCCAUUUGGAAGGACGCUUUUAUGAAUAGUUUCCCUUUCACGAUG